UACGUAGGAUCCAAGCGUUAUCCGGAAUUAUUGGGCGUAAAGGGUGCGUAGGCGGUUUGGUAAGUCUUAUGUGAAAUCUACAGGCUCAACUUGUAGUCUGCAUGAGAAACUGCCGGGCUUGAGUAUGGGAGAGGUGAGUGGAAUUCCUGGUGUAGCGGUGAAAUGCGUAGAGAUCCGGAAGAACACCGGUGGCGAAGGCGGUCUGCUGGGCCAAGACUGACGCUGAGGCGCGACAGCGUGGGGAGCAAACAGG
This 253-nucleotide ribosomal RNA is filed under the name uncultured bacterium. RNAcentral's name for it is "partial 16S ribosomal RNA". It matches the Rfam family "Bacterial small subunit ribosomal RNA", at positions 524 to 776 of the family's 1533-position model. The record is from RNAcentral.